CAGCAGAGAUUCUGAAAAAUAUAAAAGCUAAAACCCAAGCCAUCAAGGUGACUGACUUCUCAUAGACUUGGCUAUAUCUAGACGAUGUUGCAAGAUUUAUACUUUUGUCUCAUGUCAUAUGGAUAUUAGUUUAGCCUGUGGAAAUGUGUGAAUAUAACUUCAGGUUAUAUUUAAGGUUCUGCACCUUUCCACAGUGCCAGGUAUUUGGGACGUAUAGGUUUCAAAACCUUCUCAUGGUUUACACUGAGCAAUAGAUUUGUUCCUCUUCCUCUGUUCAUCUAGCUAUGCUGUGCUUUUAUGUGAGGCUUUGUGUUGCUCUUUUUUCAAUCCAAAUUUCAGGAGGAAACGACAUAUAUCAUCACUGUUUUGCCCUUAAUUUAGGAGCCUCUUCCCUCAGUCAACUGUAGGGAGCAUUGGUGCUAUGUAAUGCUGAUACAACUAAUCCCCACAGCUCUGGAGAAGGCAGGGAGGGAGGGAGCUGUGACACCAGGUAUGCACGGGAGCAAUUAAAGAUUUCAUCCAGAGAAGGGUGGGAGGCCUUUCUUCCACUUAUAUAACAAAUUAUAAUUUUUAACAGUUGACAGCCAUGCAUGGGUAGAAACUAUCCUGGUAUUGUGGCACAGGUGCCACAUAGCCUGCAAGGGUAUUUGAAGGCCAAGAGGUGAGAGAUCAGCUUACUGCUGUGGUGGAGAAGAAACUAGUUUAGGAAAUUAAUUCCAAAUGAGAACAAAAGAGAAGAGAUUAGUUUCACAUGAGAAGAGGUAAGUAGUGUUUUAAGAAAUACAUGCCCUUUCUCGGCAAAAUGUUGUGUCUUAACUGCUUUGCUGGGAAAAAACUGGUAUGAGUGCUGCCAGGCUGAUGGCUUUCCAAUGCAGUGUACCUCCUAAAAUGUUUUCAUUUCUUACAAUAAGAAAACAGAACUGUAAGCCAGUCAGGAGGGUUAGGCCUGCUCAAUAACAGGAGGAAGAAGAAGCCGUUUUCUUUGAACGUUUUGUGUUUCCCCGCUUGUCUCUCCUACCAGCUCUUGCUGAGAUUUAGCUUCAUUUUUUCAGGUGGUUUAGUGCUAUCUCCUUGGAUAGGAUGCUAAAUGAUUGUUCCCUGAAAAGUGGUGGAGGUGGGAUGUUUAUGUUGGCUAAAUCAGGCUCCCAUUUCAUAUUCCAGUAAGACAGACUUCUCAACCCUCCUGCAGUCCCUGGGAGAAGUGAGGUGCUGGAAGGGCUGUCUCAAGAGCUCCUGCCUUCUUGUGACGGGAUGUGAUCUCAAGACUGCAGUCCGACAGCCAGGAUUGCCACUGGCAACCAUGGUUACAUUUCCAUAUGCUUUUAAAGUGGCAAGAAGUCUUUGCUUUUCCUAAGCAUUUAGUGCUUUAUAAUGUUUAGAGACUGUGUAAAACUGAAAUACUACUAAUUUAUGUUUUCUAUAUCCCCCUCUCAGGAAGCAUCAGUGAGCAUAGGUCUAAAAUGAUUUUCCAAUAAAAGGUGACAGUUGUCAGAAGCAGUAUAAAACAGCUCUUCUCUGUGUGUCUGGCGAGGGCAAAUAGCCUCUAAAGCUUUUUCGGGGUUUGAUUUGUCCCAGGUCAGGACAUGUUUGGUAUAUGAACCUUUUAACUCUCCUUGCUUCACUCAGCUGCUACCAAAGACCACUGCUUUUCCAGGCACUGAAGCAGUGUCAUUCCUGAUCACUCCUACAAGGGCUCCUGUGGUGCAGUUAGCAAAUUCAGUAAAGCUUCUGUAAGUUGACUUAUUUCUCCAUGAUGGUUUCUGGUCCAGAAAUACAUAAAAACAAAAUAAUUCCUGGGUUCCUAAGUGAAUUUCCCAUUUAUUCACUUUUUCCCCCUCUAAUAUCCUCUUUGUGUUUAUGAAUGAAACAGAAUUAGGGCUAAUUUAGUUGAUUGGCUGCAAAACAAAAGUAUUCAAUGCUAAGAAUGGGAAAUGAGAAGGCCUUUCUGAAAUGUUACUUCUUUGCAUAAUUGUAAUAGAUUAUAAUUAUACAUUUGGGUGUUUAGCAGUGGAUUUGCAGUAAACACGGUCGUGGGAAAUCUCUCAUUGCUCACUUGUGUCGGUUCGAGUCCCAGUGCGGUCCUGCCGAUGACUGUACCAGCAUCUCUAACAUCGUUUUCUCUUCAGGCAGGAUGAUGUGCCACAGAGAAUGCAAUCUCCAGUUCCCUUCCCAGCUCCUCCUACAAAAUUACAGCUGGUCGAUAUGACCAUGUCAGACUGUUGACACAAAUCAAUAAGAUCAAUCAUUCUUCAGCUCCUAAACAAAAUUGAGAGCGUGAUGCUGACGGCCUGCACGUAGCAGUAAAUUCCUAAAGGAAAAUCGCAUACCACAGUGUUUGCUGAGGACAUCCAUGGGGGAUCCUGUCCCGUUAAUAAUUAGUUCUCUGAGGCUGUAAAAAGGAGCAUGGUAUAAAUAGUUUGCUAGAGCUGCAAUGUGUGUUAUGACCCCUACAGCUUUCAGGCUGGUGGAGAACAUCACCUGACCAACAGCAGUGUGGGAGACAGGGAGCAUGGCAGUGUUUGGGUAGGAAUCCUGUUUUUCUUCAUUCUCCUAGAAGAUCUUGACCUCUGAUACUGGUUUUUGCCUGGCGAAUAAUUGCAGACAUUUUAUCACAAUACUGGAAUUCCUGGUGCACUCAGGUAGUUCAGUGUGUUACUAUCAGAAAGCCCAUCAGAAUUGUAGUUUUUGUAGUAGUCAAGAAUAAAUUUAGAGGCUGCUUCUAAUAAUCAGAAUCUUUGUCUGAAGAGAAGGACAAAUUUUUGUUAUAAUGUCUGAGUUUAUAUCUCUGAAGGCUUGUUUUGGUAUGUCUGCUCAUAGACUCGAUCAGCUGCUUCAGGAAGAUAAACACAUGAAUGUUUAAUCUUAUGAGUUUGCCACCAACCAUUGUGCUGAGCGCGAGCAGAUUUUUCUUUUAAUUAAAUGUAAUUUAUCUGAUCCUAAUGGGAAACAUAAUUAUAGGAUUUAUUUUUUAAUACUGUGAUUUCAGAAUUAUUUUAUAAAGAAGAGUAACACUUCCCCCUUAAGGGCGGUUUAAAAAUCAGCAAACAAAAUAGAAAAAGCUAAAAUACACUUUGCUAAAAGUAAUAAAUCUCAGACAAGAUGCAGAAAAAAAAAAAGCAGCUGAUACGUUGGAGCUGCAAUAAAGCUGAAAAUUAAUGAUCAGUAGGUUGCUGCUGCAAGAGAGAGUGAAUGCAUUAUGGAUUUGAGGAGACGCCUAUAGCUUAUUAAAUACCAGCAAAUUUUUGCAUAAGCAGUAGAAAACCCUGAUCAGAAAUUGUAAAACGAUGUGAACUCCAGCUGGAAGAUCCAGUGCCACAAAGGACAUGUGCACCAUGUGUAUGGUUGAAACAUAAGAAAGUGCUUUGCCAGGAUCAUGGUCUAAAGUUGCAUGCUAAGCUCCUUUAGUUUCUGAUCGGAGGGAUUUAAAUGUUUCAAUAAGGCAUGACUAUAGUCGCAGGAAAGGAUUUAUCAUACUUUACAUAAGAAGGUGUGUGUGACUGUUUAAAAUAAUUUAAAACAAAUAACAUCCCUUCACCCUCCCACACUCCCUUAGACUUUUUUUUUUUUUCUCUAAACCCAAAAGCUAAGACUACUACUUGAAUUGUAAUGGAAUAAUAUAUCAAGUGAGUGAUCACAUCAGGCAUGGACACUUACCAAAUCACAGCGAGAUAACUGUGAAUAACUCUCUAGUUUCAACAAUUUGCAUGGCCAUUAACAAUUGAUGGGUUUCCCUUAGAACCGCAUUAUCUAUGGCAGCAGGAUCUAUUCCUGUGCACCGUUCCUGCAUACUAAGUGCCAGACAAAUUCUCAAAACUGAGGAUAAUAAAAAAUCUGAUAGCAGCAAGGUGAAUGAAGCAGGUAGGAAUUUCAAGGCGACAUUUUUGGAAGACAGGGAAAUAUUUCAGGCAGUCCUGCAUUUUCAUAACUGUUCUUCGUCCCCUUUCCCUGCCUACUUAUUUUGCUACAAUUCUGCAAGUUUAAUUCAGGCUGGUGUUAGGUUUCUCUUCACUGCUUGGCGUCACUUCAGAGUUGGUGGUCAGUCUGGCCUGUGGUUCAGUUAAAGCAAGAUUUUAAAAUACCUUUUGUUAAAUUUUGUGUUGGACAGUUGUGUUCAGAAGCUUUUAUGCAUAUUUAACAAAAGAUAAAAACGGUGCUGAAUUUAGCCAUCCUAGAUUGUUGGGUGGCUCUUUCAUGGGAGUGAUUUCAAGCAGGUGCCAAAAAUAUGCUUUCCUUAUUAGAAUCAUGCCACCAUUUUAAUAAGUGUGCGACACAUCCCUUAUUUCUAGUGCUUUCAUCUCUGCCUGACAGCAUGUCAGUUCUUUCCAGGUUCCUCUGCCAAGCUGACUUUUCCAGCCCCAAAUCUUUCUCUUUCUUUCUAUUUCUCUUUCUCACCCUCUUCCCUCUCCCCCCUUCUUCUCAUGGCGCUGUUGUUGUGGCAAGAUGAAAGCAGCUGAGUGAGGCAGUGGCGGGGAAGGCUCGGGUAAUCAAAGCACACAAGGAGCUGGAGCUGUGUGAAGGCAGGUGGGUGACACAUCAAAGUCAGGGUACGUGUGCUUGCUGCUCUCACCUCUCCUUGUAAAUGACCCCCCGGCCAUAAACAGAGUUCCUGGGGUUAAUUUGUGAGUUCACGCGCACACAAAUGCAAUUACUUUUCUACAGCCUUCCCAAAAUUUACUUGCAGAGACCAGUAAUAAAAUCUUAGCUUUGUUCCUUGGAAUAUGGCUUUUGCAGAUGUGGUGUGUAAGGAGACAAGUUGUUGAUAGCAGGAGGUGGUUGUUCACCUUCAGCAGAGGGUAGCCCAUCACCUCAUUGUCCCAUCUGCCUGUACGUGUUGUUUCAGGGUUGCUGUAGGCAGGAUGGGGGAGCUGCAAGGUCUGAGCAGCGUCUGGUUAUCCCCAGCUGGACCUUGCAUGGUCAGAAACCCUGAGAACAUGUUGUUAAGAGAUCUCUUGGCUGGGGCAGGCCAGCACCCCUCGCUCAGCCACACGUGGGUGCUGCUUCCUGAGCUCUGCACCCAGUGUGAAGGCUUCAGGUCCCCUGUUGUCCCCUCAGCUCAGUAGAAGCCCCAAACUCCCACUCAUCUCUAAACUCUGUGCAUGUCUCUUGACAUGGAGCUAACUGUGGGGCUGGCUAUUUUCUCAGCUGUUGCCUCUCCUCAGAUCCUCCUUUGUCUUUGCUGUGGAGCUCAGCAGCUGAGCACCCCAAGGUCUGGGUUGACUCUUGCUCUGUGUUUGUGCUGGGGGACCUGGUCCUUGUCUUAACUGUUUGUGCUGAAGGUGUCAAAAUUAUUGCACUCUGCCCCUGCCAUUUUUGACCGGACUCUUCCUCACUGCCUCCUGAUGCCUGUUUCAGUUACUGUUGCUGAGAACCAAAAUAACCACUUGUCUCUUGACUUUCUGUAUCACAACAUUUGUGAUUUGCAGUGACAACACGUUUUCAUCUUUUAUUAGCUAUUUCUGAUAGCCUAUAAUAAUAACCCUUUCUAGCAAAAGGUUUUUUUACUCUUUCAUUUUUAAUGAAAAUUCUUUAUGACAUAGGUCAUAAUAAAACAAUUCCCAGUGAAAUUAUGUGCGUUGUUUGGGUCUAAAAGUGGUGAUUGAAGAAUUUAGAGAUAGUGGUAUGAUCCCUGGGUGCCCUGUUGGUGUACUUACUGGUUAUAGCAAUAGUUCUUACUUUAACUUUGGUCUCAGGGUAACCGUGCUCCACAAUAAUCAAUGCACUGAUGACUGUAAUUGCAGCUUGUGGUACUGUGGUCUUAAAAUUAACUGACUGGGACAAUAAAGUUUGGAAUUUAAUGAAUAUUUGUAAACAAACUUGAUUAGGAAGUAGGUUGAGGAUAUGCACUGGUGGAGGAUAAUAGAAGAGACCCAUCCUCAUCUUUGAUAAAUAGAACAGAUGGAAACCUGAAAAUGAACAGCAAAACAUGGAAACCAUCCCACUGCUAUUUACCUUGCAUUUAUUGCUGCGCCAUGUCUUAAAAAUCUUUCCUUUAAAAAAAAAAAAAAAAGGAAUUUGGCUCCCUGCUGCAAUGAGAUCCUGUGUAUGCAAUUUCAAUCUCUUCUGCAGAACUUUAUUAUCAGACACGAUGUUGCAAACUGGGUUUACAAUCCAGGGCUGGUAUCAACCUUAAGUAAAGAAGUGUCUAUUGUCACCCCAUGAUUGAAUCAUAAUGCAAUUAAAAUGAAAAAGGAAACCACCAUUGAAAAUGGGAAAUAGAUUUCAUAGUGAUGCCUCUGGGGAGGUGGAUGGCUGACAUCUGGUAGUUACUGAAAGUUGGCUGUGUUCUACUGUCCUUCAGGAACUGCAUCCCAUUUUUGCUUGUUAUAGGUCAUGCUUUGUGUGCUUCCUUCUGCUUGUGUCCACAUGUUUCAGAUGCAUGUCCUUCAUCUCAGGUACAGAGGCCUGUCCUGCCCCCUGUGUCAGGCCAUUUGGGAGUGUUUUGUAUGAGUCUGGAAAGUUAACAGUAUGAGAGUACAUCAGGCUUUGGAUGGUUGUUUUAAGAUGGCCAGAAAUCCCUUUACACCUCCUUGCUUUCUCUCUUCUCUUUCUCCAUCUUUAUUCCAUAUUUAAGAAUUGGACUUUUAUUUACAGGUUUUCCUGGCUGAGUACAUGGGUGUCUCUCUAACAAAAGUAGCAUUAAAUCCUACUUACCUCACCUCUCCUUUUGGUUUUUUUUUUUUUUUUUUUUGAGCUUUGGUUACCUGCAAAGUUUGGCAUUAAUGGAAAUGCAUGAAAGGGAAGUGUGUAAGGAGCCUUGCUCAGAGAGCUCCUGCCCUAAGCAAUAGACUGGUGAGUGGCUGCUCCUGCUGCAGGAACUUGGAGGGGAGGGGAUCUUCCAGCAGCUACAGUUCACCCGUUUGCUUCCUACCUGCUGGUUUCCAACAGUAUUAAUUUUUAUGCAUUUAUUGUAUUUAAUUAAAAGCAGGGCUGCUUACAGCAAUGCUUGCGGAGAUUCCACUUCUCCCCCAAAUGCAACAAAUAGGCAUCUGGUAUUUGUUUGGUAUAACACAAUCCUCAUAAAAUGAAAGCUAAUAAAACAUAAUUAUCUGUAAAGGCUUGUUUUGUAAGCCUAGGAAUGAGUUUGUUCCUGCAUUGUUUUUGUCUAGUUGUAAGAUGGUUUUAGCCCCUCUCCACAUUAACAGAGAUUCAGUUAUUAUAGCGUUUUAAACCCUGGUUUAAAAGCUAGGAGGUGGUGUGAAUGCAUGCACAGGGUAGCAUGGAUCUCUAGAGGUGAGAAUAGUCUUUCUGUUCCUUUUAGAAGUUUUUCCCUUACAAACAAUGGGUUUUAUUUGGAAUCUUUGGUCAAGUAAGAGGGAAGGAAAUCUGUGACUACACAAACAAUUCUGUGUUUCUGAGCUGUUGGCCUUGAAGUUGGAUUUGAGCCCUUUCUGCAUACUGCUCAUCCUUGGCAGUGUGCAAAGUGUCAUGGGUCCACGCUCAUGCUUGGAUGUAUGUAGGAUUCCUUGAUUUGGCCCUCACUGCAUUACUGAACAGACUUUAACUGCUAUGUAUCUUCAUUUCUCAGAGCAUUGCUGGCUUGAUCUACCUCCAGCAGUCGUCAGGAGUCCCAGCACAGGAUUCAGCAGUUUUGAAGAGCUAAUUAUACUCAUUUCACCUUAGAUUUGCUGCUUGCUAUUUGUUUGUUGGCAUCUAUGUCAUUUUGCUUGCCUUUGGUUUGCUGUAACCCUGCAAAGCCCUGCCUGCCACCACAUGCUAGAAGUAUUUUUUUUUGGGAAAAAGUGAAACCAGAUCAUCUAAACCAAUUAGAUGGUAUGGUGAGACACGUGAGUGGUUUAUGACUGUCUAAAGAUGAAGUGUGAAAAUCAAAUCCUUUUAAAAAACUCACAGUCCAAACGUACUACUUUUUUUAUUUUUCCUUUCAAAUAGUAGUAAGCAAGAAUCCACUUUUUUGUAAUGAAAGCUGGAAGCUGUGGGGCUGCAACACACCUUCAACUUCAGCAUGCUUUAGAAUAAAUUUGCUUCAAUCCUGUUCUUCUGUGCACAAUUAAUUAAAGUGACAGAAGAGAGCUUUGCUCAGCUUUUAGGUGAAUUGUAGCCUUCUCAAAACCAGAUAUGGCUUAGGUAUUGCUUUCUCUUUGCAAGACAAACCUUGCAAUUUUGAAUCUUGAUGAGUGGCUGCAUUUGUUCUGCAAGUCUCAGAAACAAUGGGGUUGGGAGUACAUAACAAAUUGCCAAAUGAUAGCACUUUGGAGAGAAGAAUCUUCUUCAAGCACCUCAUUCUCUGCAACUUUAGUUUUGCAGAGGCUGCCUUGUUGCAGCCCCAGUUGUAGAGACCCACUGUUGGGGCAAGGAGAUGCUCCAUGGCAAGUCCUGCUUUCUGGGCAGCAGCAGUGCCUGGGCAUGGCUGUGUGCUGAGCUGCUGCUGCCCUGUAUUGAAGCAAUUUCCUUGAAAUACAUCUUCCUUGAAAUAUGCUUUUUAUUCAUCAUAUCUGAGGAUACUGGUGUAAUCAGCUCAUUGCUGACUUCAGUUGUUUAACAGCACUGUUGUGGCUGCUCUGAGUCCUCAGCCAGAGCAGGGCCGGCAGCAGCAGGGGAGGUGUUAGGAGGCACCCGACUGCCUUAUAUGAUGUUGCUUUCUAUGGCCAGAAGCCUUUGAUCUAUUCAAACAGAAGCCUGAGAAGUGGGGGAUGGAUUCCACAUCGCAGGCUGAUGUGUAAAUGCAUCCUUUUGCACCAAAGUCUCAUUUAACCUAAGAGCUAAAUGUGCCAUGUCUGUCAGAAGCUGCAGAGUCCAGCUAAAAGUCAAAUGGUCUGAGAUGUUUGUCAUCCCCACCCAGUAUAUAAUGUUCCAUUUACUUUUUCAUGCAAGGUCUGGAAUUCAGCUGUUGUAUUGUUUAUCUAGGAUAUUGGUCCACGUAGAUGUACAGCAGGGAGAUACCUCCCUGGAAGGUUUACUGGUUCUUAAUUCAUUAAUGUCUCCAGAAUGUUCUGAGACCAGUGUUGCUUUGCAUUCACAGCCACAGAAUUGAAUUUAAAAGUUUGGGUGGCUUCUGAUUAUGACUUCUUAUUUCUCAGGAAUAAUUGGGUUUCGCUUUACCAGUGCAAAUAAAGUGAACCCUUUAGCUUCAGUCCUGCUAUCAGUGUGGCAUGGACUCAUUUGUUCUCUUACCCAUUGUGUGCAGAGUGAUUGCUUUUGGCACAUCUUCUUUUAAAUACAACAUAAAGUGAAAUCCUGUUAUUUGCACACAUCCUGUGGCAUGCAUCUUCAAAGUAUCUAGGCAACCUUUAUGUAGAUGACACUUUUAACUCAAACUUUUCCAUCAUUAUGAGUGUGGUCCUGCGAAAAGAAGCAGGAUGAAAAAGGGAGGGAAGAAAGGGCUGGCUUGAACUCACUUAGGGCAGCUUGAGUCACUUGUAAGACUCUUUGUAGGAAGUAUGACACACACUGAAGAUCUCUGCUCUCUUACGCUUAAAACAUCAACUUCAAACUAUUCCAUGCUUUUCCUUUGAGCUUGGGCAGGCAGGGGAUCUCCUGGCUCUGCUGGAGCUGAUAGUAGAUCUGUCAGGAAAGGGGGAUUUCAGCACUUCUGCGAUCCCGCAGUCCAAGUAGUGGACUUGAUUGUGUGGUUCUCGGCUCCAGGCACAGGAGGAUGAGUGGUCCAAAAUGUCUGCUGCUGUAGCCCUGGGACAUUUGUGUGUUCUGACAGCUUUUGAGUUCAGCUUCUCCGAAAACAAGAGCUGAAUGGAAGACUUGAAAGCCUUAAGGAGAUGCCACCAUUGCAACCCCUACAAGGAAGAUUUUUUGAAUAAAAGUGUGUCCGUGGGGUCAGGUGUGGCCAUGACCUAUCAAUGGUGCAGAUGGAGCAGGCAUCACUACUGCAGCAGUAUGACCUCCACUUGGGAAUUGGUCUCCAAAGCCAAGGUCACUGAGAUAGGCUGCACAAGGAAUGUUGUAUCUCCAGACUUUGUAUCAGCAUGGAUGUCAUCUCUUAGAGCAGUUCUGCUUUAGCUAGAUCGAGCAAGCAUCCUCCAGGCAGGAAGCGAGGCCAGUGCCAUGUGCUGUGCUUGCUUUGGCAGAAAUAGGAGUGGUGUCCUCAUGCUUGAUGCUUACCAUAUUGGGGCUGUGGGUGAUCAGCAUGGUGCAUGUUGGUAUUAAGGAACAUGGUGGUGGUGUAGGUCAGUGUACACAACAAAACAAUCACAAUUCCCCCCUCCCCAUCAACAAACAGCAUACACAAAUCUCACUUUGCUGCCCUAGCCUGGUGCUGGAGAACAUGAUACGUUCCCUAUCCAACUCUUAAGAGGNUGAGGGUGUUUGGAAGACUGAUCCCAGAAGCCUGAGACUGUGGUUUGGAGAGAUAAAAGGUUGUGUGUACGUGAUUUACAUUCACUGAGAGGUGAUUCCUUUGUGCUCUCAUUGCAUUCAGGGUAUCAGCCCAAAAACAAGUGACCCUGACAGCAUUUUUUCACAUGUAGUUGUGUUGGCCCAGAGGAGCAGGCUGAAGGGAAGGGUUGGGAGGCACUGUAUGCCAUAGUUGCCCCAGGGGCUGGGUUUUAGGAGGUGGCAGCCCCAAACAGCUUUCCCUGGAAGCUGAUGCAGAACAGAAAAUGAAGCUCAGGUUUCUCAAGACUCCUGUUGCCAGAUCCCCUUCUGCAUCCCCUCUGGUCUUUAUCCAUAGCUGUGCCUGAGUGCCUAGCAACAGUAGGACAGUGAGUGUAGCUGUAUUUUAGGGAAUGCUAAAAGGGAAAAGUUGGGAAUGGUCUGGGCCAAAUAUUUAAAGCAUGGGGAGAAAAGGUCCAGACUUUUGUGUUUGAAUACUUAGGAUAGUAAGUGAAAGCUUGCUGUUGCAAGGUAAGGCAACUGUGUUCGUAGCCAGAGGUUGGAUUUGGGGUUUUU
Non-coding RNA from Sturnus vulgaris (Common starling), 10857 nucleotides. Lineage: Eukaryota; Metazoa; Chordata; Aves; Passeriformes; Sturnidae. The record is from RefSeq and is a predicted model, not a curated record.